This 57-nucleotide transfer RNA is filed under the name Gongylonema pulchrum. It matches the Rfam family "tRNA", at positions 8 to 63 of the family's 71-position model. From Rfam's summary of the family: Transfer RNA (tRNA) molecules are approximately 80 nucleotides in length. The record is from Rfam by way of RNAcentral. Lineage: Eukaryota; Metazoa; Nematoda; Chromadorea; Rhabditida; Gongylonematidae.
UGGUGUAAUGGUCAGCAUGGUUGCCUUCCAAGCAAUCGACGGGGGUUCGAUUCCCCC